AUUGAACGCUGGCGGCAGGCCUAACACAUGCAAGUCGGACGGUAGCACAGGGGAGCUUGCUCCCCGGGUGACGAGUGGCGGACGGGUGAGUAAUGUCUGGGAAACUGCCCGGUGGAGGGGGAUAACUACUGGAAACGGUAGCUAAUACCGCAUAACGUCUUCGGACCAAAGUGGGGGACCUUAGGGCCUCACGCCACCGGAUGUGCCCAGAUGGGAUUAGCUAGUAGGUGGGGUAACGGCUCACCUAGGCGACAAUCCCCAGCUGGUCAGGAGAGGAUGACCAGCCACACUGGAACUGAGACACUGUCCAGACUCCUACGGGAGGCAGCAGUGGGGAAUAUUGCACAAUGGGCGCAAGCCUGAUGCAGCCAUGCCGCGUGUAUGAAGAAGGCCUUCGGGUUGUAAAGUACUUUCAGCGGGGAGGAAGGCGGUGAGGUUAAUAACCUCGCCUAUUGACGUUACCCGCAGAAGAAGCACCGGCUAACUCCGUGCCAGCAGCCGCCGUAA
Molecule: ribosomal RNA, 507 nt
Filed under: uncultured bacterium
Lineage: Bacteria
Description: partial 16S ribosomal RNA
Rfam family: Bacterial small subunit ribosomal RNA
Source: RNAcentral